UGCCAGCAGCCGCGGUAAUACGUAGGGUGCUAACGUUGUUCGGAAUCACUGGGCAUAAAGCGCACGUAGGCGGCUAAGUCAGUUCGGUGUGAAAGCCCCCGGCUCAACCGGGGAACUGCAUCGGAUACUGCUUGGCUUGAGGACGGUUGGGGUGAGUGGAACUCCUGGUGGAGCGGUGAAAUGCGUAGAUAUCAGGAGGAACACCAGUGGCGAAAGCGGCUCACUGGACCGUAUCUGACGCUGAGGUGCGAAAGCUAGGGUAGCGAACGGGAUUAGAUA
RNAcentral lists this ribosomal RNA (279 nucleotides) under uncultured bacterium. Its description in RNAcentral is "partial 16S ribosomal RNA". It matches the Rfam family "Bacterial small subunit ribosomal RNA", at positions 506 to 784 of the family's 1533-position model. The record is from RNAcentral.